UUUUCGCGGAACUUUCACUUUCCGCGAAAAACCAAUGCCAGCAUGGCCAUAAAACACUACAUACAAAUCGAAAUCUAAAAAGCGCGGAACUUUCAUAUAUUUUCCGUCGGAGCAAUUAUUUUUCAACCCUGUAGAAAAAGCGGGCUCAAUUAAUCGCGCGGAACGUUAUUUAUCUACUCUGUACAAAUAGUAGUGUUUAAAAUCGCGCGGAGAUUGUAGAAUGCUAUUUUAAGAAGUCUAUUAAAGAGAGAAAAUCCAGUAAAUACCAGAUCCAAAAAGCGCGGAACACAAAUAUCGUCCGCGAAAAUUAAGCAUUGAAUUACUGUACAAAUCUCGGGUUGUUAGGUGUUAGAAUCCCUAGUUACCCGAAAAAUUUGAUUGGAUCCGAUACUUAGAAAUAACCAAUCAGAUACUUUGUAACAAAUGCAACACAAUCAGUGCGUUCAGUAAGUAUAACGUUUCAAGAUGGCGGAGCGAAUUGCAUGGUUAUUGUUUCUACUCGAUGGAUUCGCAGAUAAUUCGGAAAUAGAUCAGAUUGGGAUCAAUAACUGUAUUGCAUACGAUCAUUUACAUGUAUUACCAGGUGUGUGUUGCCAGUAAUGGUUGAAGAUAUGCCAAACAAAUUGUGCCUCUCUAUACAGACAGAUUUCAGGUCUCAAUUUCGACUUCAAAGGUCAACAUAUCACUGAUAUCAGGAAUUCUGUACAACUGUGGAACCAUGUAUGGUACGUGACCGCACAAUGUUGGUUGGCAAAAGGAUAUUGGAAUAAGCAAAGGGACUCAACAUUACACAGUCAUUUCAACAUGUAGAGUCUUGUCAGCAAUGAUGGAGCAGUACUUCAGAUUUCCAGAAUCUCGUCAUGAGCUGAAGAUCAUUGCCUAUGAAUUUCCUGAAUGAUGUAGAAUGAUUGGACUGUUGAUGGAACCCACAGUGCAUGUCCUGCUUCAACAUCUGAGCAUAGGUCCUUGUUUAUCAGCAGUUUAGUUCUUCAAGCAGUCUGUGACAGUUACUUGAAAUGUUUGGACAUAUGACCUGGAUGGCCAAGUUCUGUGCAUGAUGCCCAUUUAAAUAGGAACGGCCCAGUGGCGCAUUAAAUGGACAUUUUUCGAAUGUUCUCAAGGAUUCAGCUUACCGCCUGACAAGAAAUCUUGCUUUUUGUUCAGUAUCGAGGCCAUGGACAUUUGUAUCAUUUGCAAAAGAUACUGCGAUAUUUGUGCCUUUGUUCAUGCUUUAUAGUUGAUUAACAAUUGGAAGCCAUAACCUGUUUUUAAGAUGGUGUUAGUGGGACAAUGAAUUUUGUAAAGAUUUAAAGACUGGAAAAGAUAAUUAAAAGUCAAAAGAGUUCUGCUAUUGUUAAGCAUGCUUUAUUGAUUUGUAAUGUUAGAAAGAUAGCAUUAUUAACAGAAUAAAAUGUCCAUAAUUUGAA
This is a long non-coding RNA of Dreissena polymorpha, 1427 nucleotides long. RefSeq lists it as uncharacterized. The record is from RefSeq and is a predicted model, not a curated record. Lineage: Eukaryota; Metazoa; Mollusca; Bivalvia; Myida; Dreissenidae. The transcript has 4 exons.